Molecule: non-coding RNA, 173 nt
Organism: Paraburkholderia caribensis
Lineage: Bacteria; Pseudomonadati; Pseudomonadota; Betaproteobacteria; Burkholderiales; Burkholderiaceae
Source: Rfam
GUCGGCGUCGUCAGCGUCAAGCCGACGGGCGUGCCCGUCACCGUCGAAUUGCCCGGCCGCGUGAGCGCGCAUCUCGUGGCUGAAGUGCGGGCGCGUGUCGACGGCAUCGUGCUGAAGCGCACGUUCACGGAAGGCAGCGAGGUCAAGGCGGGGCAGACGCUCUACAAGAUCGA